AUAGCGUAUAUUUAAGUUGUUGCAGUUAAAAAGCUCGUAGUUGGAUUUCGGGUGGGUUCCAGCGGUCCGCCUAUGGUGAGUACUGCUGUGGCCCUCCUUUCUGCUGGGAACGGGCUCCUGGGCUUCACUGCUCGGGACUCGGGUUCAGCGAUGAUACUUUGAGUAAAUUAGAGUGUUCAAAGCAAGCCUACGCUCUGAAUACUUUAGCAUGGAAUAUCGCGAUAGGACUCUGGCCUAUCUCGUUGGUCUGUAGGACCGGAGUAAUGAUUAAGAGGGACAGUCGGGGGCAUUCGUAUUUCAUUGUCAGAGGUGAAAUUCUUGGAUUUAUGAAAGACGAACUACUGCGAAAGCAUUUGCCAAGGAUGUUUUCAUUAAUCAAGAACGAAAGUUGGGGGCUCGAAGACGAUUAGAUACCGUCGUAGUCUCAACCAUAAACGAUGCCGACUAGGGAUUGGAGGAUGUUCUUUUGAUGACUUCUCCAGCACCUUAUGAGAAAUCAAAGUUUUUGGGUUCCGGGGGGAGUAUGGUCGCAAGGCUGAAACUUAAAGAAAUUGACGG
RNAcentral lists this ribosomal RNA (558 nucleotides) under Tetradesmus lagerheimii. RNAcentral describes it as "SSU rRNA". It matches the Rfam family "Eukaryotic small subunit ribosomal RNA", at positions 594 to 1159 of the family's 1831-position model. Lineage: Eukaryota; Viridiplantae; Chlorophyta; Chlorophyceae; Sphaeropleales; Scenedesmaceae. The record is from RNAcentral.